UGAUGGAGCAUGCCGCGUGAGUGAAGAAGGGUUUCGGCUCGUAAAACUCUGUUGUUAAAGAAGAACACCUUUGAGAGUAACUGUUCAAGGGUUGACGGUAUUUAACCAGAAAGCCACGGCUAACUACGUGCCAGCAGCCGCGGUAAUACGUAGGUGGCAAGCGUUGUCCGGAUUUAUUGGGCGUAAAGCGAGCGCAGGCGGUUUUUUAAGUCUGAUGUGAAAGCCUUCGGCUUAACCGGAGAAGUGCAUCGGAAACUGGGAGACUUGAGUGCAGAAGAGGACAGUGGAACUCCAUGUGUAGCGGUGGAAUGCGUAGAUAUAUGGAAGAACACCAGUGGCGAAGGCGGCUGUCUAGUCUGUAACUGACGCUGAGGCUCGAAAGCAUGGGUAGCGAACAGGAUUAGAUACCCUGGUAGUCCAUGCCGUAAACGAUGAGUGCUAAGUGUUGGAGGGUUUCCGCCCUUCAGUGCUGCAGCUAACGCAUUAAGCACUCCGCCUGGGGAGUACGACCGCAAGGUUGAAACUCAAAGGAAUUGACGGGGGCCCGCACAAGCGGUGGAGCAUGUGGUUUAAUUCGAAGCUACGCGAAGAACCUUACCAGGUCUUGACAUCUUCUGCCAAUCUUAGAGAUAAGACGUUCCCUUCGGGGACAGAAUGACAGGUGGUGCAUGGUUGUCGUCAGCUCGUGUCGUGAGAUGUUGGGUUAAGUCCCGCAACGAGCGCAACCCUUAUUAUCAGUUGCCAGCAUUCAGUUGGGCACUCUGGUGAGACUGCCGGUGACAAACCGGAGGAAGGUGGGGAUGACGUCAAAUCAUCAUGCCCCUUAUGACCUGGGCUACACACGUGCUACAAUGGACGGUACAACGAGUUGCGAAGUCGUGAGGCUAAGCUAAUCUCUUAAAGCCGUUCUCAGUUCGGAUUGUAGG
RNAcentral lists this ribosomal RNA (926 nucleotides) under Levilactobacillus brevis. RNAcentral describes it as "bacterial SSU rRNA". It matches the Rfam family "Bacterial small subunit ribosomal RNA", at positions 384 to 1304 of the family's 1533-position model. The record is from RNAcentral. Lineage: Bacteria; Bacillati; Bacillota; Bacilli; Lactobacillales; Lactobacillaceae.